GAAAGUAGGAAAGGGCGCAUGGCGGAUGCCUUGGCUCACGGAGGCGAUGAAGGACGCGAUAAGCUGCGAAAAUCCGCGGUGAGGUGCAAAUGACCUUUGACCCGCGGGUAUCCGAAUGGGACAACCCGGCCGCCUGAAGGGCGGUCAUCCCCCGCUUAUUGCGGCGGGAGGCGAACGGAGGGAACUGAAACAUCUUAGUACCUCCAGGAGAAGAAAACAACAGUGAUUCCCCCAGUAGUGGCGAGCGAACGGGGACCAGCCCAAACCGGCCGGGUGCCAUCUGGCGCCCCGCCGGGGUUGUAGGACCGCGGUCAUGCGAUCGAGUAUCGAGGGGAAGCGUCUGGAAAGUCGCGCCGCAGAGGAUGACGGCUCCGUACCCGAAGAGACGAGAUGGCAUGCGGUAUCCUGAGUAGCGCGGGGCACGAGAAACCCUGUGUGAAUCCGCCGGGACCAUCCGGCAAGGCUGAAUACUCCCGUGAGACCGAUAGUGCACGAGUACCGUGAGGGAAAGGUGAAAAGCACCCCGACGAGGGGAGUGAAAUAGUUCCUGAAACCAUGCGCCUACAAGCGGUCGGAGCUGCAUUUUGCAGUGACGGCGUGCCUUUUGCAUAAUGAACCUACGAGUUGCCGUCGCCGGCGAGGUUAAGCAUCACGAGAUGCGCAGCCGCAGUGAAAGCGAGCCUGAAGAGGGCGUCGAGUCGGCGGUGGCAGACGCGAAACCGAGUGAUCUACACAUGGCCAGGGUGAAGUCCCGGUAACGCGGGAUGGAGGCCCGCACCAAUAAGCGUUGAAAAGCUUCUGGAUGAGCUGUGUGUAGGAGUGAAAGGCCAAUCAAACUCGGAGAUAGCUCGUACUCCCCGAAAGGCAUUUAGGUGCCGCGUGCGGUGUUCAGCGCGAGAGGUAGAGCGACCGAUAGGAUGCGAGGGCUUCACCGCCUGUCAAGUCCUGACGAACUCCGAAUGCUCGCGCUCCGCAGCCGCGCAGUAAGGGGGCGGGUGCUAAGGUCCGUCCCCGAGAGGAGAAGAAUCCAGACCGCCGUCCAAGGUCCCGGAGUUCUGCCUGAGUUAGUCUAACGAAGUCCGGUCCCCGUGACAGCUAGGAUGUUGGCUUGGAAGCAGCCAUUCAUUCAAAGAGUGCGUAACAGCUCACUAGUCGAGGGUCCGGGCGUGGAUAAUAAUCGGGUAUAAGGCAGACACCGAAGGCGCGGGAUAUGCCGCCGUCAGGCGGAGUAUCGGUAGGGGAGCAUUCCAUGUGCGUUGAAUGCGGGGGGCGACCCCCGCUGGAGCGCAUGGAAAGGCAAAUGUAGGUAUGAGUAACGACAAGGGCGGCGAGAACCCGCCCCGCCGCAAGACCAAGGUUUCCCGGGCAAUGCCAGUCAUCCCGGGGUCAGCCGGGGCCUAAGGCUAAGCCGAACGGCGAUGCCGAUGGACUCACGGUCAACAUUCCGUGGCUCCCUCAUGGAGCGACGCGGUGACGGAGCAGUGACACCUCCGCGCGCUGACGGAAUAGCGCGUUGAAGGCUGUAGGCUAUGAGGGGCGUAGUGAAGCACGCGCCCCGAGCUGAGCGCCGACAGUACGGCCUGCCCCCCGGGGCGGGCUGACAGCGAGGGUAAGCAUACUCCCCAGAAAACCCGCUAAGCUUAAUCCAUGUGGGACCCGUACCGCAAACCGACACAGGUGGUCGCGUAGAGCAUACUGAGGCGUUGAGAGACUCAUGGUCAAGGAACUAGGCAAACUGACCCCGUAACCUCGGGAUAAGGGGUCCUCGCCGUCAGGCGAGGCGCAGAGAAUAGGUCCAGGCAACUGUUUAACAAAAACACAGGGCUGUGCGAACUCGAGAGAUGAAGUAUACAGCCUGACACCUGCCCGGUGCCGGAAGGUUAAGAGGAGGCGUCAGCCUAAUGGUGAAGCGCUGAGUUGAAGCCCCGGUAAACGGCGGCCGUAACUAUAACGGUCCUAAGGUAGCGAAAUUCCUUGUCGGGUAAGUUCCGACCUGCACGAAU
Molecule: ribosomal RNA, 2003 nt
Filed under: gut metagenome
Description: bacterial LSU rRNA
Rfam family: Bacterial large subunit ribosomal RNA
Source: RNAcentral